UGGUACAACCAAUAUGGAGAACAGUAUGGAGGUACCUCAGAAAACUAAAUAUAGAACAACCAUAUGACCCAGCAAUCCCACUCUUGGGCAUAUAUCUGGACAAAACUUUCCUUGAAAUAGACACAUGCACCUGCAUGUUCACUGCAGCACUAUUCACAACAGCCAAGCCAUGGAAAACAACCUAAAUGUCCAAUGAUAGAUGAAUGGGCUAAGAAGAUGUAGUAUAUAUACCCAAUGGAAUACUACUCAGCCAUAAAAAAGAACAAAAUAAUGCCAUUUGCAGCAACAUGGUUGGAACUAGAGACUCUCACACUAAGUGAGGUAAGUCAAAAAGAUAAAGACAAAUACCAUAUGAUAUCACUUCUAUCUGGAAUCUAAUAUAUGGCACAAAUAAACGCUUCCACAGAAAAGAAACUCAUGGACUUGGAAAAGAGACUUAUGGUUACGGAGUGGGGGUGGGUAGGAUGGACUGGGAAUCUAGGAUUAGUAGAUGCAAACUAUUGUCUUUGGAAUGGAUAAGCAAUGAGAUCCUGCAGUAUAGCACUGGGAACUAUGUCUGGUCACUUGUGAUGGAGCAUGAUAAUGUGAGAAAAAGGAUGUAUAUAUGUAUGUGUGACUGGGUCACUUUGUUGUACGGUGUACAGUAGAAAGUUGACAGAACACCGUAAACCAACUGUAAUGGAAAAAACUAAAAUCAUUUAUAAAAUAUAUUUAUUAAUAACUUAACUCUACACCAGGUAUAGUUCUAGACAUAGAAUUAAUAAACACAAGAAAGGCCUCUGUCUUCACAGAGCCUACGUUCUAGAGAAAGAAGACAGACCAUCAGCAAGAAAAACAAUAAGUAGGGGUUCCCCUUGUGGUUCAGUGGUUAACGAAUCUGACUAGGAACCAUGAGGUUGCGGGUUCGAUCCCUGGCUUCGCUCAGUGGGUUAAGGAUCUGGCGUUGCUGUGAGCUGUAGUGUAGUCACAGAUGCAGCUUGGAUCCCACAUUGCUGUGGCUCUGGUGUAAGCCAGCGGCUAUAGCUCUGAUUAGACCCCUAGCCUGGGAACCUCCAUAUGUUGCAGGUAUGGCCCUAGAAAAGUCAAAAAGAUAAAAAAAAAAAAAAAAAAAAAAAGUAGAUAAAAUAGUAUGUCUGAAGGCACUAAGUCUAUGAGAAGGAAAGAAAAGAAAAAAGAACAAGGUAAGAGAAUGAUAAGCAGGGAGUUUUCAGUGCUUAACUUGAUUCCUAGCACAUAUACAGGACUGUAAAAAUCCUUGUUCUCUUCAAUGACCCUUUAAGACACUCAGGUCACUAUCUCCCCAAGCCCAGACAGACUCAGAAGGCAGGCCCCCUCAGGAACACCAUCCUAGUUCUCCCUGCCCGUCAGUCUCCUUGCAAUUUAAAGACCACUUUCCACCCAUGGAUGUGUGAACAUGCAUGCAUCCCUUUGUGAUUCUGAAUGACCUUCAAGAUCACUGAUCCCAUAUACACCCACACUCAGGCUCCAGCCUCCUUUGGUAGGGUCCUGAAGGACUGGGGCUCUGGGUGUCCCCUCAAGCCUCUUAUCUGUUUAUGGACCCACGUGAGGAUUUGUAUACUUUCUCUGUGACCAAGGGUGACCCUCAGGCACUUCACUUUCCCACAGCCCGAAUCCUUGUAUAUCCCCCUUCCAUGGCACUGCCUGAUACUAAAGUAACACUCCUCCUACUUACACCUGCCUCCUCAGAGUCAGAGCCCCUCUCCCCAAAACCAUGCCGCUUAACGGAAACGUCCCCCAGGAUGUUGGACACCCCUCCACGACGCAGCCUACCCCUACCAUCAGCCCCCAUCACAGGUCCCCCUCAGGAGGGGAGUCCUGUUAUCUUCUCUGGGGUCUCAGCCGUUUCUGGGCCACUGCUCUCUCAAAAGUGUGCACACUCUCUCAUACUACACCGCUGCCACGCCAGGACUCCGGCGUCCCUGCCCGCCACUCUGAGGGGUACACGCCUCCCUUAACCUCUGACCCCGAGGUCACAGCCCCAGCUCGCAAACACACAGGACGCCUCCUCGGGAGUAGCUCCUCCUCGGGAGUAGCUCCUCCUCUGGAGUAGCGCCCUGCCCCAGUCCGCUGUCCCCUCAGGCCCAGGGCAGCCUAGCCGCCUCAGCGCUGCCCCUGAGGACCGCCCCCACAGACCUGCCUCAGGCGCCGUCUGGCUCCGCUCCGCCAUUUUUUUUGUUGUCCCUCCGCCUCUGAACCCACGCGAAAAUCCCCGGCAGUGGGGAGCGGCCGAUGGGAUCUGCCGGCUGACAGAAGCUCCCUCAGGAAGACGCGGUGCGACGGUUGCCAAGGCAACGGGCGACGGGCGUGCAGAAGGCCCGCGCGUGGC
This 2347-nucleotide long non-coding RNA is filed under the name Sus scrofa (pig). RNAcentral describes it as "lncRNA (ENSSSCG00040071395.1)". The record is from RNAcentral. Lineage: Eukaryota; Metazoa; Chordata; Mammalia; Artiodactyla; Suidae.